AGAAGCGCGUUGGUUGCCCAGGGGAUUCAUAUAAACGGAAUUUGUUUUAAUGUGAAAGAAAUGUAGAAGUCUAGAUCCUCCGCUUCAGGGCAGAAGCGUUUUUGAAAGAGCGUAAUUCGUUUCCCGAGAGACUUCUUUUUCCUUCUUUUUCUUCUCCUUCCUGGGAAUGUAAUGCCAAUUAACCCUUCUUUAACUUUACUCCUUCAGCCCAAAGUCGGGGAACAGGGAGAGAACUCGGUCCCGCUGCUUGUUGUUGCCGUGGACUGAGCAGCUUCCGGCAGCGACCUAACCUCGGAUUUCCCAAAGAACUAAGACCACCGGCUUGUGUCCACCAGGGAAGUUUCCCUUCUGUUUCGCAAGCAUCUCUAACGCCAACAGAAAGUAUCCAAUGGUUUCAUUUAACACUUCAAAUAUUGGCCACCUGCCUCGCGUCAGAACAGGCUAGUGUUGUGAGGGAAAAACAGAAAAAAAAAAAAAAGUCAUCCUUUCCCAAUUACAUUUCCCUCCUUAGUCCACCAAUAUUAAAAAUUGGAAAUGGUUCCCCAAA
Molecule: long non-coding RNA, 547 nt
Filed under: Mus musculus (house mouse)
Lineage: Eukaryota; Metazoa; Chordata; Mammalia; Rodentia; Muridae
Description: predicted gene, 49801
Source: RNAcentral